AGCGAACGCUGGCGGCAGGCCUAACACAUGCAAGACGAACGAACUCUUCGGAGUUAGUGGCGGACGGGUGAGUAACACGUGGGAACGUGCCUUUUGGUUCGGAAUAACUCAGGGAAACUUGUGCUAAUACCGAAUGUGCCCUUCGGGGGAAAGAUUUAUCGCCAUUAGAGCGGCCCGCGUCUGAUUAGCUAGUUGGUGAGGUAACGGCUCACCAAGGCGACGAUCAGUAGCUGGUCUGAGAGGAUGACCAGCCACACUGGGACUGAGACACGGCCCAGACUCCUACGGGAGGCAGCAGUGGGGAAUCUUGCGCAAUGGGCGAAAGCCUGACGCAGCCAUGCCGCGUGAAUGAUGAAGGUCUUAGGAUUGUAAAAUCCUUUCACCGGGGACGAUAAUGACGGUACCCGGAGAAGAAGCCCCGGCUAACUUCGUG
RNAcentral lists this ribosomal RNA (433 nucleotides) under uncultured bacterium. RNAcentral describes it as "partial 16S ribosomal RNA". It matches the Rfam family "Bacterial small subunit ribosomal RNA", at positions 29 to 507 of the family's 1533-position model. The record is from RNAcentral.